CCUACGGGCGGCAGCAGUGGGGGAUAUUGCACAAUGGGGGGAACCCUGAUGCAGCGACGCCGCGUGGGUGAAGGAGCGUUUCGGCGCGUAAAGCCCUAUCGGCAGGGAAGAAGAUGACGGUACCUGACCCAGCAGCCCCGGCUAAAUACGUGCCAGCAGCCGCGGUAAUACGUAGGGGGCAAGCGUUAUCCGGAUUUACUGGGUGUAAAGGGGGCGCAGACGGCAAUGCAAGCCAGGAGUGAAAGCCCGGGGCCCAACCCCGGGACUGCCCUUGGAACUGCAUGGCUGGAGUACAGGAGAGGCAGGCGGAAUUCCUGGUGUAGCGGUGAAAUGCGUAGAUAUUAGGAGGAACACCAGUGGCGAAGGCGGCUUACUGGACUGUAACUGACGUUGAGGCUCGAAAGCGUGGGGAGCAAACAGGAUUAGAUACCCUUGUAGUC
RNAcentral lists this ribosomal RNA (440 nucleotides) under uncultured bacterium. RNAcentral describes it as "partial 16S ribosomal RNA". It matches the Rfam family "Bacterial small subunit ribosomal RNA", at positions 338 to 795 of the family's 1533-position model. The record is from RNAcentral.